UAAGUUCUUCACCUAGGAAGGAAAAAAAUCAACUGCACAACUACAAAAUGGGAAAUAACUGGCUAGGUGAUAGUACUCCUGAAGAGGAUCUGAGGG
Dermochelys coriacea (leatherback sea turtle) is the source of this 96-nucleotide long non-coding RNA. RefSeq lists it as uncharacterized. The record is from RefSeq and is a predicted model, not a curated record. The transcript has 3 exons. Lineage: Eukaryota; Metazoa; Chordata; Testudines; Dermochelyidae.